GCACUUUGGAUAGUCAGAAAUGUGAAGGAGGUUUCCAGGCUCAAAUUUUUGGUGGUUUGACAACUCCCAGCUGACCCCAGGAAUUCACAACCAUGCACACCGCGAUGCCAAGGCAGGAGUCAGAACAUGGCAGGACAGAGUUUUCAAAUGAAACAAAAAUUAGAAAAAAUGAAGUGCUUAAAGUGUGAGGCUUCCCCCCAUCAUUGCCCUGGGACUGCAGCACAGAGAGCCAGUGUACACUCACCACAGCCAUGGAAAAGAAAAGAGAAGGAUUUUUUCAGG
Long non-coding RNA from Empidonax traillii (willow flycatcher), 282 nucleotides. RefSeq lists it as uncharacterized. The record is from RefSeq and is a predicted model, not a curated record. The transcript is spliced from 3 exons. NCBI's taxonomy places the organism in Eukaryota, Metazoa, Chordata, Aves, Passeriformes, Tyrannidae.